This 497-nucleotide ribosomal RNA is filed under the name uncultured bacterium. Its description in RNAcentral is "partial 16S ribosomal RNA". It matches the Rfam family "Bacterial small subunit ribosomal RNA", at positions 28 to 507 of the family's 1533-position model. The record is from RNAcentral.
GAUGAACGCUGGCGGCGUGCUUAAUACAUGCAAGUCGAGCGAACAGACGAGGAGCUUGCUCCUCUGACGUUAUCGGCGGACGGGUGAGUAACACGUGGAGAACCUACCUAUAAGACUGGGAUAACUUCGGGAAACCGGAGCUAAUACCGGAUAAUAUAUUGAACCGCAUGGUUCAAUAGUGAAAGACGGUUUUGCUCUCACUUAUAGAUGGAUCCGCGCCGCAUUAGCUAGUUGGUAAGGUAACGGCUUACCAAGGCAACGAUGCGUAGCCGACCUGAGAGGGUGAUCGGCCACACUGGAACUGAGACACGGUCCAGACUCCUACGGGAGGCAGCAGUAGGGAAUCUUCCGCAAUGGGCGAAAGCCUGACGGAGCAACGCCGCGUGAGUGAUGAAGGUCUUCGGAUCGUAAAACUCUGUUAUUAGGGAAGAACAAAUGUGUAAGUAACUAUGCACGUCUUGACGGUACCUAAUCAGAAAGCCACGGCUAACUACGUG